RNAcentral lists this ribosomal RNA (645 nucleotides) under uncultured marine bacterium. RNAcentral's name for it is "bacterial SSU rRNA". It matches the Rfam family "Bacterial small subunit ribosomal RNA", at positions 8 to 633 of the family's 1533-position model. The record is from RNAcentral.
AGAGUUUGAUCAUGGCUCAGGAUGAACGCUGGCGGCGUGCCUAAUACAUGCAAGUCGAGCGAACUGAUUAGAAGCUUGCUUCUAUGACGUUAGCGGCGUACGGGUGAGUAACACGUGGGCAACAUGCCUGUAAGACUGGGAUAACUUCGGGAAACCGAAGCUAAUACCGGAUAGGAUCUUCUCCUUCAUGGGAGAUGAUUGAAAGAUGGUUUCGGCUAUCACUUACAGAUGGGCCCGCGGUGCAUUAGCUAGUUGGUGAGGUAACGGCUCACCAAGGCAACGAUGCAUAGCCGACCUGAGAGGGUAAUCGGCCACACUGGGACUGAGACACGGCCCAAACUCCUACGGGAGGCAGCAGUAGGGAAUCUUCCGCAAUGGACGAAAGUCUGACGGAGCAACGCCGCGUGAGUGAUGAAGGCUUUCGGGUCGUAAAACUCUGUUGUUAGGGAAGAACAAGUACGAGAGUAACUGCUCGUACCUUGACGGUACCUAACCAGAAAGCCACGGCUAACUACGUGCCAGCAGCCGCGGUAAUACGUAGGUGGCAAGCGUUAUCCGGAAUUAUUGGGCGUAAAGCGCGCGCAGGCGGUUUCUUAAGUCUGAUGUGAAAGCCCACGGCUCAACCGUGGAGGGUCAUUGGGAAAC